This 449-nucleotide ribosomal RNA is filed under the name uncultured bacterium. Its description in RNAcentral is "bacterial SSU rRNA". It matches the Rfam family "Bacterial small subunit ribosomal RNA", at positions 29 to 524 of the family's 1533-position model. The record is from RNAcentral.
AACGAACGCUGGCGGCAGGCUUAACACAUGCAAGUCGAACGCUCCGCAAGGGGAGUGGCAGACGGGUGAGUAACACGUGGGAACCUUCCCAUCGCUACGGGAAUAGCUCAGGGAAACUUGGGGUAAUACCGUAUACGCCCGAAAGGGGAAAGAUUUAUCGGCGAUGGAUGGGCCCGCGGCUGAUUAGCUAGUUGGUGAGGUAACGGCUCACCAAGGCGACGAUCAGUAGCUGGUCUGAGAGGACGACCAGCCACACUGGGACUGAGACACGGCCCAGACUCCUACGGGAGGCAGCAGUGGGGAAUAUUGGACAAUGGGCGCAAGCCUGAUCCAGCCAUGCCGCGUGAGUGACGAAGGUCUUCGGAUUGUAAAGCUCUUUUGGCGGGGACGAUAAUGACGGUACCCGCAGAAUAAGCCCCGGCUAACUUCGUGCCAGCAGCCGCGGUAAU